Molecule: long non-coding RNA, 3054 nt
Filed under: Nicotiana tabacum (common tobacco)
Lineage: Eukaryota; Viridiplantae; Streptophyta; Magnoliopsida; Solanales; Solanaceae
Description: long non-coding RNA (NTAB_LNC006774)
Source: RNAcentral
CGCCAAUAUUGCUGUAUUUAUAAAUAAUAAUUCUACAAAAUAUAAGUUAUCGUAAUGAAACAGUAAUAAAUUCGAGCCCACUGAAUUCACAGUGUUUCCUUAAGGAAUUUAAUCACCUCCUAGUACCCAAAGUUAUGGAUUAUUUCCUCCCAGGAUAGAACGAAUCACACACUGAUGUAGCGGUACUUCAAACCCCAGUGUUUCAGCGAACACAAAGUUCGGUAGCAAAUCAUACUUACAGUUGCUUUGUUUGAAGUUACAACAAUGCAGAACAAAGGAGUAGAAACUCAAAAAAUCGUAUGAAAAUGCUGAGAGGAAGGAGUGCAAUGUAUAGCCAAAGUUGAGCGUUUUUCAGUUUUGUUGGUGUUUUCGUUUUUCGUUCGUGUCUUUCUUCAACAGCUGCUGCACAUAUAUAUAUAGCAGCCAGCUUUGAAGAUAAACGACCCUCCAUCCUCCAUGGUAGAGCAUGCACUAGCUUGUUUGUGGAGCAAGCACUUGGCCAUAGUGGGAAGAGCAUUAGGCGGCUGCUAUUGCAGCUGGUGGUCAAUACACGGAUUGGAAAAUAUCUGUUACAAAUGCGGAUAAUCUUACGUUAAUAUUUACUAUUAACAAAUAAAUUUGGUCCAAAAAAUUAAUCAAUCAAUCGAUCAUUUGACCAAAUCCAAAUCCAAAUCCGAAGCCGAAGCCGAAGCCGAGCGAGCGACGACGGCAGCGCGAGGCUUGCUUUCUUCUUAACUCUUUAAGAGCUACAAGAAGAGCAAUUAUAUAUAUAUACCCACCAAAAAUCUUUUCCUCUUCCAAUAUAGGACAAUGUCUCAUUGUCAAGAGGGGGAAACUUAAAAUUUUACUCAAAAAUUUUAUUUUCCCUCCAUUUCCCAUUCACCCUCAUUUUAAUACUAUUUUAUCUUAAAAAUAAAACCUCAACAAAAUAUGUAGAUUGAACAGAGUUAGUUUUAAAAAAAUGAAUAGACUUAACUAGUUGUGCGUUUGAAAUUACACAGUAAGACCAACUCUACCGAAAAUAUGUACAACAGUCAUGCCAUAAUCAAAAUUAUAAGUUGCAAGAUAUAUUGGACCAUCAUAAGAAAAAAGAGAUGCAUUCAGUAAUCGAUAGUGUCAGAACAGAGACAAUAGCCUUUUUCCUUGAGUUUCUUCCUAGGUUGCCUAACAUAAAGAAGGAUAAAGGUAGGCCAUGGUUUGAAAUCUUUAACUAAUAUUCCUAUGUGAUUAGAGAACAAUCCACUCAAGCUACUACACAAAGAACCAAAUUCUCUAUAUAUGAAAUUUGUAAAGAGUAAUUUCUUACUUUAUGCUAAGUUAAAAUCUUUUUUUCUCAAAACAAGUACUGGUGAAUACAAUUAGAAUUGUAAAUGACUAAGUGAUCUUUAGAAAAAUCAGUAGAUCAAUUGUUCAGAUAUUUAAGACAAUUAUCUAUAAACUAAUUGACUUGUAGAAACUGGGCUUAGGGAUCAAGGAAACAUAUACUAUGAACUGUUGCAUUUUGUACUGAUUUCUCUUUGCAGAUCAAAGGUUUCAUUUCUUAUUGAUUAACUCAUGAAUAUUUAUUUAUAUGUGUUUAAAUCUCUACUGCACAUUAAACAAUAAAGGUUUCUAUUAAAGCAGAGUAUUACUUCAUUUUCUCUAUCUCAUGUUUAUUAGCAAGAGAUUUUCUCGCCGCACUUGUGAUAUCCUGAGAAUAAAGGAGGGAAGUAUAAUUGGUAGUAUAGAUAAUUCAAGAGCAAUUAUACACAAAUAUACAAGUGGAACUACUAACCGGCCCUAGCAGCUUAUUAAACAAUAGUGAAUGAAUGAUAAUUGGUAGCACAAAUAAGGCUUUAUGGAUGUAAAACACAAAGAUUUAUUUCUUGAAAUCCCUGUAGUAUUGGAAAAAGUUUGUUCUUCUGGUUUUUUGCUCACUUGUAAUUACUACAACACUUUGAGCAAACAAAAUACUACAACACUUUCUUAGUGCUAGUUUUAUAAUAUAAUUACUUUUCUAUAAAAAAAGGAAUUACUUCUUGAACCUCAAAAUUCUUUGGUGAAAGACACUAAGAUUUAUCAAUAAAACUAAGGAACAAAAAAGUCACUAGAGUUUUAAUUUCAACAAGGCAACUAAUCAUGUUAAGCUCCUAGUUGAAAUCACAGUAAUUGUUAGAUUUCACCAAAUUUUCUAAGAGAACAAAUAACAUCUAAUCUCACAAAAUAUCCAAUCCCUUGGAACCCGAAAAGCCCAUUGAAACCAGAGAUCCAAAUAUGACAUCUUCCUUGAGAUGAAUAGUUGAUAGUAAUACUCAGAUCACCAAAUGCAACUAUUUUCGCUCCGAGUUUCCAUCACUAAUAAGGAUAGAAUCAGUACAAUUGAAAUGCAUUAAAUUAAUUUUCAAACAUAGAUGCUAAAGAAACGAAUAUAGACAAAGCAGAACCUUUUACAGUUAGAUGUGGAAAUCAAAGUACCACAACCAAAGAGAGACUUCCGUCCACAAAGCCAGAAACAACCUAUUUUUUAGGAGUAUAACAACCUCAAAAAUAUAGCCAAAGCAGAUGCCAAAAUCUACAUCUAUCCCAAUUCCAAAAAGCACAAAUAUACCAAAAAUAUAAAAUUAUAGUCACAAUCUGCUUGUGAAUCUAUCAAUCAAUAGAAAAGAACAUAAUAUUUUUUUUAAAAAAAAAAGUAAAAUAGAUAUACCAACCGAAUAAGGCAUGAGACCAGUGAUUAGAACUAGAAUGGAGCUCUAAGUACUGAUGUGGAUGUGGAUGGACCACACUAUCAUUAUUUAGAACCUGCAAGAAAAUGGUUUAUUUGAUGCCCUAGUUUUUGCUUUGAGAAAGCGCCGACCCUGGUUAGGACCUCCUAACUCAAAACCUAAACCGAAGCAUUCAAAGAAUUGAAACCUUAAACUAGAAACAACUGAAAAUAGAGAUGAAGGAGCUUACAAUUUCAAGCAAUAGUCAAAGCACUGGAAGAAAAUGUUGUUGCUCAUUUGAACCUCAUAACUCAAAGCACGAGUGGAAGGGUUGAACGAAUUGGGGAAGGUGAGAGCCAAAAUGAAAAUA